Molecule: transfer RNA, 72 nt
Filed under: Ictidomys tridecemlineatus (thirteen-lined ground squirrel)
Lineage: Eukaryota; Metazoa; Chordata; Mammalia; Rodentia; Sciuridae
Description: Spermophilus tridecemlineatus (thirteen-lined ground squirrel) tRNA
Rfam family: tRNA
About the family: Transfer RNA (tRNA) molecules are approximately 80 nucleotides in length. Their secondary structure includes four short double-helical elements and three loops (D, anti-codon, and T loops).
Source: Rfam by way of RNAcentral
GGGGGUGUAGCUCAGUGGUAGAGCUCUUGCCUAUCACAUGUGAGGCACUGGGUUCAAUCCCCAGCACUGCAU